GUCUCCGUAGCUCAGCAGGAUAGAGCGUCAGUUUCCUAAACUGUAGGUCGGAGGUUCGAAUCCUCUCGGGGACGCCA
This 77-nucleotide transfer RNA is filed under the name Brevibacillus brevis. RNAcentral describes it as "tRNA-Arg(cct)". It matches the Rfam family "tRNA". From Rfam's summary of the family: Transfer RNA (tRNA) molecules are approximately 80 nucleotides in length. Lineage: Bacteria; Bacillati; Bacillota; Bacilli; Caryophanales; Paenibacillaceae. RNAcentral also lists the same sequence under 1 other name. The record is from RNAcentral.